Crotalus tigris (Tiger rattlesnake) is the source of this 491-nucleotide long non-coding RNA. RefSeq lists it as uncharacterized. The record is from RefSeq and is a predicted model, not a curated record. The transcript is spliced from 3 exons. NCBI's taxonomy places the organism in Eukaryota, Metazoa, Chordata, Lepidosauria, Squamata, Viperidae.
UGUGCUUCGGCGCGAGCGGCAAGGCAGACUAACAGCAAUGGGAAGGAAGAAACAGUAAUUUAUAAGCGCUUUCUUCCGGACCUCUCGUGUCUGCUCUCUAAUGAGCGAGCGCUGAGCAUCACCCAUCCUGAAUGACAUGGUCCUUCACAAAGAUUUUACAUGAUUGUAUAUUACAAUGUAUUCUACUCUUCUAGUACUGCAGGUUGAUAUUUGGAAACAUCAUCACAAGCUAGGUUGCCACAUAGAACGGAGGGAGGACGUUGUCCAUGUGCUUCACUAGUCAAAAUAAUCUUUUUUCCCAUGGGAACCAAGGUCAUCGGAUGCUCCCAAGAUUAAGGACUGGGCAUUGCAUAAUCAUAUUAGGGACAUAGUUGCUUGCAUAGUUUUAUGGGUGGGACAUUUAACUUUGUAUUGUUAAAUUGUUACUUGUGUAUUCAUAUUUGGUUUCACUCUUGACCAUGCCGAUACUUUGUAACUAAUAAACAUGUUCU